This 336-nucleotide transfer-messenger RNA is filed under the name Escherichia coli. It matches the Rfam family "transfer-messenger RNA". Rfam says of the family: Bacterial tmRNA, also known as 10Sa RNA or SsrA, is named for its dual tRNA and mRNA-like properties. Lineage: Bacteria; Pseudomonadati; Pseudomonadota; Gammaproteobacteria; Enterobacterales; Enterobacteriaceae. The record is from RNAcentral.
GGGGCAACCCAAGGUGCAUGCCGAGGGGCGGUUGGCCUCGUAAAAAGCCGCAAAAAAUAGUCGCAAACGACGAAAACUACGCUUUAGCAGCUUAAUAACCUGCUUAGAGCCCUCUCUCCCUAGCCUCCGCUCUUAGGACGGGGAUCAAGAGAGGUCAAACCCAAAAGAGAUCGCGUGGAAGCCCUGCCUGGGGUUGAAGCGUUAAAACUUAAUCAGGCUAGUUUGUUAGUGGCGUGUCCGUCCGCAGCUGGCAAGCGAAUGUAAAGACUGACUAAGCAUGUAGUACCGAGGAUGUAGGAAUUUCGGACGCGGGUUCAACUCCCGCCAGCUCCACCA